RNAcentral lists this unclassified non-coding RNA (277 nucleotides) under air metagenome. Its description in RNAcentral is "partial contains small subunit ribosomal RNA, internal transcribed spacer 1, and 5.8S ribosomal RNA". The stretch from base 1 to 46 matches the Rfam family "Eukaryotic small subunit ribosomal RNA", at positions 1786 to 1831 of the family's 1831-position model. The record is from RNAcentral.
AAGUCGUAACAAGGUUUCCGUAGGUGAACCUGCGGAAGGAUCAUUAUCGAGUUUAAAUUCAUACUUGCUGUGCAUUCACUUGCACGUAGGUUUGAAUAUUCAAACUUUACACCCCUGUGCACCUUCGGGCUUGCCACAUCACGCAAUCUGGGUUGCGGUGGCAUGUCUCGUUUUUUACACCUUUUUGUAUGUUUCUGAUUAAAACUUUUGAUUGCCCUGUGAUGGGGUGGUAGAAUCAAACAAAAUACAACUUUCAGCAACGGAUCUCUUGGCUCUC